RNAcentral lists this ribosomal RNA (497 nucleotides) under uncultured bacterium. RNAcentral describes it as "partial 16S ribosomal RNA". It matches the Rfam family "Bacterial small subunit ribosomal RNA", at positions 28 to 507 of the family's 1533-position model. The record is from RNAcentral.
GAUGAACGCUGGCGGCGUGCCUAAUACAUGCAAGUCGAGCGACCGGACGAGAAGCUUGCUUCUCUGAUGUUAGCGGCGGACGGGUGAGUAACACGUGGAUAACCUACCUAUAAGACUGGGAUAACUUCGGGAAACAGGAGCUAAUGAUGGAUAAUAUUUUGAACCGCAUGGUUCAAAAGUGAAAGACGGUCUUGCUGUCACUUAUAGAUGGAUCCGCGCUGCAUUAGCUAGUUGGUAAGGUAACGGCUUACCAAGGCAACGAUGCAUAGCCGACCUGAGAGGAUGAUCAGCCACACUGGAACUGAGACACGGUCCAGACUCCUACGGGAGGCAGCAGUAGGGAAUCUUCCACAAUGGGCGAAAGCCUGACGGAGCAACGCCGCGUGAGUGAUGAAGGUCUUCGGAUCGUAAAGCUCUGUUAUUAGGAAAGAACAGAUGUGUAAGUAACUGUGCACAUCUUGACGGUACCUAAUCAGAAAGCCACGGCUAACUUCGUG